Molecule: ribosomal RNA, 521 nt
Filed under: Meyerozyma guilliermondii
Lineage: Eukaryota; Fungi; Ascomycota; Pichiomycetes; Serinales; Debaryomycetaceae
Description: eukaryotic LSU rRNA
Rfam family: Eukaryotic large subunit ribosomal RNA
Source: RNAcentral
AAAUCUGGCACCUUCGGUGUCCGAGUUGUAAUUUGAAGAUUGUAACCUUGGGGUUGGCUCUUGUCUAUGUUUCUUGGAACAGGACGUCACAGAGGGUGAGAAUCCCGUGCGAUGAGAUGCCCAAUCCUAUGUAAGGUGCUUUCGAAGAGUCGAGUUGUUUGGGAAUGCAGCUCUAAGUGGGUGGUAAAUUCCAUCUAAAGCUAAAUAUUGGCGAGAGACCGAUAGCGAACAAGUACAGUGAUGGAAAGAUGAAAAGAACUUUGAAAAGAGAGUGAAAAAGUACGUGAAAUUGUUGAAAGGGAAGGGUUUGAGAUCAGACUCGAUAUUUUGUGAGCCUUGCCUUCGUGGCGGGGUGACCCGCAGCUUAUCGGGCCAGCAUCGGUUUGGGCGGUAGGAUAAUGGCGUAGGAAUGUGACUUUGCUUCGGUGAAGUGUUAUAGCCUGCGUUGAUGCUGCCUGCCUAGACCGAGGACUGCGAUUUUAUCAAGGAUGCUGGCAUAAUGAUCCCAAACCGCCCGUCUG